GAUGAACGCUGGCGGCGUGCCUAAUACAUGCAAGUCGAGCGAGCAGACGAGGAGCUUGCUCCUCUGACGUUAGCGGCGGACGGGUGAGUAACACGUGGAUAACCUACCUAUAAGACUGGGAUAACUUCGGGAAACCGGAGCUAAUACCGGAUAAUAUAUUGAACCGCAUGGUUCAAUAGUGAAAGACGGUUUUGCUGUCACUUAUAGAUGGAUCCGCGCCGCAUUAGCUAGUUGGUAAGGUAACGGCUUACCAAGGCGACGAUGCGUAGCCGACCUGAGAGGGUGAUCGGCCACACUGGAACUGAGACACGGUCCAGACUCCUACGGGAGGCGGCAGUAGGGAAUCUUCCGCAAUGGGCGAAAGCCCGACGGAGCAACGCCGCGUGAGUGAUGAAGGUCUUCGGAUCGUAAAACUCUGUUAUUAGGGAAGAACAAAUGUGUAAGUAACUAUGCACGUCUUGACGGUACCUAAUCAGAAAGCCACGGCUAACUACGUG
RNAcentral lists this ribosomal RNA (497 nucleotides) under uncultured bacterium. RNAcentral's name for it is "partial 16S ribosomal RNA". It matches the Rfam family "Bacterial small subunit ribosomal RNA", at positions 28 to 507 of the family's 1533-position model. The record is from RNAcentral.